AAACUUAACUGGCAGAGGAGAUACCAUGAUCACAAAGGUGGGUUUUCCCAGGUCAAGGCUUAUCCAUUGUACUCCAGGUGUGCUGACCCCUGCGAUUUCCCCAAAUGUGGGAAACUCAACUGUAUAAUUUGUGUUAGUGGGGACUGCAUUCAUGCUCUCCCUAG
This is a small nuclear RNA of Nycticebus coucang (slow loris), 164 nucleotides long. RefSeq annotates it as U1 spliceosomal RNA. NCBI's taxonomy places the organism in Eukaryota, Metazoa, Chordata, Mammalia, Primates, Lorisidae. The transcript has a single exon. The record is from RefSeq and is a predicted model, not a curated record.